GUAUUUAUUCCCCAUCAGCCAUUCAUUAUGCUUGCUGGCAGAGGGCAUAACCUUGAGUGAGGCACACUAUGAAAUGUCAGAAGCCUAUUUCCGCAACAGCUUGGAGAUGGAUGUGAAAUGAACUGCAGAUUCUGAGCGCAGUUUUACAAGCACAACUUGAGUCUGAGUUCUAGCUACUGCCCAGUUGUGUGACCUUGGCCAAUGUCGUCUUGUUGAACUCACAUUAAAAACUCUGUAAAAUAGAUGUCUAUUAAAAAGAAAGGGGAACAGUGAAAACGGAAGAUGGCAUCUGUGAAAGAGAAAGAAGAAAAAAAGAAAAAAAAAUAAAGAAAUCAGUUCGGGUCAACAUGCGAUCACAUUAAGGGUUAAAUCCAAGCAAUGAACAAAGGAGAAGCCAGGGCCUGAUGGGGAAGGAACCUAGAAAACUGCAGUUCAAUUCAGGAUCACUUACAACUUCCCUAGGGGAUCAUAACCAUUUGCUCAGUGAGAGGAAAACUUCUGGAUGGGCAGAGCUCCCAGUAAUGGACUUGGUCAGCCAUUUUGUAUGGAACGAGAAACAGCCUGAGGUAAGUGGCACA
Long non-coding RNA from Homo sapiens (human), 578 nucleotides. Lineage: Eukaryota; Metazoa; Chordata; Mammalia; Primates; Hominidae. The record is from Ensembl.